This 446-nucleotide ribosomal RNA is filed under the name uncultured bacterium. RNAcentral describes it as "bacterial SSU rRNA". It matches the Rfam family "Bacterial small subunit ribosomal RNA", at positions 330 to 794 of the family's 1533-position model. The record is from RNAcentral.
UCCAGACUCCUACGGGAGGCAGCAGUGGGGAAUAUUGGGCAAUGGAGGCAACUCUGACCCAGCCAUGCCGCGUGAGUGAAGAAGGUUUUCGGAUUGUAAAGCUCUUUCGGAUGUGACGAUGAUGACGGUAGCAUCUAAAGAAGCCCCGGCUAACUCCGUGCCAGCAGCCGCGGUAAUACGGAGGAUGCGAGCGUUAUCCGGAUUUAUUGGGUUUAAAGGGUGCGCAGGCGGAGGUGCAAGUCAGCGGUCAAAUUGCGGGGCUCAACCCCGUACUGCCGUUGAAACUGCAUCCCUUGAGUGCGCGAGAAGUAUGCGGAAUGCGUGGUGUAGCGGUGAAAUGCAUAGAUAUCACGCAGAACUCCGAUUGCGAAGGCAGCAUACCGGCGCGCAACUGACGCUCAUGCACGAAAGUGCGGGUAUCGAACAGGAUUAGAUACCCCCGUAGA